This is a long non-coding RNA of Oxyura jamaicensis (ruddy duck), 1811 nucleotides long. RefSeq lists it as uncharacterized. The transcript is spliced from 2 exons. NCBI's taxonomy places the organism in Eukaryota, Metazoa, Chordata, Aves, Anseriformes, Anatidae. The record is from RefSeq and is a predicted model, not a curated record.
ACAGGUCUUUCAGGCUGUGAAUUCAAGGGAGUCUGCUCCAGUUCGGGUUUUCUGAGCUUGCCACACAGCAAAUCCCAUAAGAGGUCCCUCUGUAAAUCUGUUUUCUUUUAAGUAGCACCAAUUUCCUGGUGCACAUGCUUUGUAUUUGCCUGGGUGCCUGUGUGAGAGCCAGUAGCUCCCCUGCACACUCUCCACCCCAGAGCUCACUUGAGAAUUGUGUUUUCUUGUUGAAGAUGAAGUAUCAUGUGCAGGCUCUGUGCUCGGAGAGACUCAAUUUUGUACAGAAAAUGAUCUGGGCAUGUGUCUAUAUGGAAAGCCUUGGGAAAAAUCCGUGCAGCAUAAAGAAAAUGCAAUAUUGCCCUCUAGUGAUGAUGAGGACGGUCUCAUUUGAUCCGCUGAUGAAACAAAAAAGUAUGUUUCUGCUAACCUUCACUGGGAUUUGAAAAUAGAGUUUUGUUCCCUCUUUUUUCUGACCCUGGAAUUAAAGAUCUGACCAUCACAACUUGGAGAGAACUGUUUCAAGGACAGGAGGUGAAACCCGGUGGAAACCAAAAUAAAUAAAUAAAUAAAAUAAAGUUGAAUUUCUGUGCUUGAUGAUCCCUAUGUUCAAAUGUUUUCUUUCUUAUUUUCCUUUUUUAAAAAUUUCUCAUUUGAACUGUUCUGGAGGGGGAGGAGGAUGGGCAGGAGCACCUCAGCAGACAAACAUAAAGAGCUCAAAAUAUUUCAUUCGAGUAUGUAGUUGGUUGAACUUGCCAGGAAAUAAACUGUUUUGAAGGGUCUUCAGAAGACACCUAGGAGCACUACAGAGCUUUGACCUUUAGCCCUGAGAAGGUUACAUUUAAGGCCCUCAAUUCUGCAAACAGCUGAACACAGACAAUCCCUUUAAUGCUUGUGUGAAGCCCCAAGAGUUUCAGCAGGUCUCAUAGCUUCACUCCCAGACAGUGGGGUCACGGAGUAAGAUUUCUCUGUAACUGGACUCUGCAUCUCUACCCAGAUUUCUAAGGUAUCUCUUUGUUGUUGUUUUUUUAAGUUCCUAAUACAGACAGCAUUUCCCUGGCACCUUCCCUAUUCUAAUUGGCUCUGACAAUGCACGAUGGUACUGGAAUUUAUGUAAGAAACAUUGCUGCCACUGUACUGAAACUUAAAGAUCACUCUGAAACAGAGUGGGCAGAUAGAUGUUUGUUUUUUCCUCACUUGAAACAAUAACUAAAUGCAAAAUUCACCUUAAUCACUACCUGAAUAGGGUUUCUCUCUUACUACGGGAAUCCUAAAAACAUAUAACAUACUCAUAUGUAAUGGCUUGUUAUUAAAUUUGAUGAUAUAUCCUGCACUUUUUUUUAUCCUGGGAUUUUUACCCCAAAAGAUCACAAAGCAGAAUUAAGGGCUGGAGUCUAUUCAAGCUGGUGGCAAAACUCAGAGUUCACUGCCAAAGGAUCUUUCAUACAUACAAUAAACUUUCAAUGUAAUUGCAAAUAUUUGGGGUGAUCAGUCAAUGCAAUAGAGUGUGUUUUAUGGACACAGAGGGUUUGGAUUGGGCAGCUUUUUACUGAGUUCUGAGAAUUUAUCUCACUCCACUAAAAGAGUAGAUUAUUGUCAUCCCCAGCACCACUACCCAUGGUACUGUUAAAUUGUGCGAGGUCCUUAACUACUGCUGGUUAAUUACUCUGUAAUUAUAGAUGUUGCAUGCUACCCACGAAAAAUAUAUAAAAAGGCAUUAAAAAUGUGCUGUAUGAAGAGCUGAAGUCAACAAAGAGGAAACACAGAAGUGCAUUUCUGGCAGUGAACAUUUUAUGCAUGGCAGAUCGACAGCA